Molecule: ribosomal RNA, 257 nt
Filed under: uncultured bacterium
Lineage: Bacteria
Description: partial 16S ribosomal RNA
Rfam family: Bacterial small subunit ribosomal RNA
Source: RNAcentral
AUUAACGCUGGCGGCGUGCAUAAGACAUGCAAGUCGAACGGACGGGCGAGCUUGCUCGCCCGUUAGUGGCGGACGGCUGAGUAACGCGUGGGUGACCUGCCCCGAAGUGGGGAAUAACUGCCCGAAAGGGUGGCUAAUACCGCAUGUGGUGACUGGUUCGUUCCAGUCUCCAAAGCCGCAAAGGCGCUUCGGGAGGGGCCUGCGUCCGAUUAGCUCGUUGGUGGGUAACGGCUCACCAAGGCGACGAUCGGUAGGUG